GAGAGGUGCUUUCUGUUACUGAUUCAGUCAAUGGCUUAGAGGUAAUAUACGUCUCUCAUAUGCGAUUGCGGUGACUCGCUUUUCCAGAUUUGCUCUCUCCGACGAUGCUUCAACGUCUUUGAUCGAAUCAGGUCCAAGAGAACAAUCAGGAAAAUCCCAGUGGUCUUGCAGGACUCGAACCGAUGAUCUUUAAGAAGAAUCCCCAAAGACCCAAGCUUUAUUGCUACUUGAGGGGUUGAGCCAACCCACAAAGCUUUCUACGCUUACCGAUUGAUGAAGGAAGGUUCAAGACAAGAACAUCGUUGGUUUGAAAAACCUGCGGUUUCAUAAUAUGGAUAUCGAGAGCAUCAAGUUAUGGCACAGUAAAUCCUUAUCUUGCCACAUUCUUCAUCAUCAAAAUAGAAUGCAGCUAGUACCUUCUUUUUACUUAAGACAAUUGGUUUCGAGGUGAUAUAAUUACACAAACUGGUGAGGGUUCGAGUCUGAGAGACACAGUUUGGGAGUCACAAUUCCUUUGGGCAUUGGGCUCCUAAGCCAGCCACCUAGCAAACUGUUAUGAACCUGGUUUAUCUCUCACAUGAUACUCUUUCGGGAGAGGCCGGCUCAAGUAGUCGGGUUACCGCCUUCCCUGUAAGAAACCGUUUAUUGCCCAAUCAGGACUUGCAUCCCUACCUGGGUUCUAAGUUCACACAACCACACGUAUCUUGUCAAAUUGGUAUACUUGUCUUAAUAUUACAUGUUUUUAAUUUAUUUUACAUUCAACUCCUGUGAUCUUGAAGAUUUAUCUUUCACUUGCUGGCAAUAUUUGGACCCAAUU
This is a long non-coding RNA of Cynara cardunculus var. scolymus (artichoke), 817 nucleotides long. RefSeq lists it as uncharacterized. The record is from RefSeq and is a predicted model, not a curated record. Lineage: Eukaryota; Viridiplantae; Streptophyta; Magnoliopsida; Asterales; Asteraceae. The transcript is spliced from 3 exons.